Molecule: long non-coding RNA, 287 nt
Filed under: Equus caballus (horse)
Lineage: Eukaryota; Metazoa; Chordata; Mammalia; Perissodactyla; Equidae
Description: lncRNA (ENSECAG00000059336.1)
Source: RNAcentral
AAUACAUUUCAAAGCUAAUCUUUGUGCUACGACAUGGAUGAAACUUGAAAAUACUAUGCUAAGUGAAAUAAGACACAAAAGGACAAAUACUGUGUUGAAAGAGAACUGAUGGAUGGGAAAGCAGUCGGCUCCACCUCUAUGCUUAGAGGUCAAGCUCUUAGAGGGGUUGAACUGAUCCAUUCUCUCAGACUCCACUGGGAUCCAUUUUACCCUAAACCAGAAUACACGUUGGGAAGAACAUGACCAGUUGAUACCUGAAUAGGCACAAAAGUUACAUAGAGGGGAGG